UCGCUACUACCGAUUGAAUGAAUUAGUGAAUUUCAGGGACAGUCGACUUUGACAGGGUUUCCUGGCUUUGUUGAUCGGAACUGACAUAAACUUGUGCAUUUAGAGGAAGUAA
RNAcentral lists this ribosomal RNA (112 nucleotides) under uncultured eukaryote. Its description in RNAcentral is "partial small subunit ribosomal RNA". It matches the Rfam family "Eukaryotic small subunit ribosomal RNA", at positions 1676 to 1785 of the family's 1831-position model. The record is from RNAcentral.